Molecule: non-coding RNA, 91 nt
Organism: Cordylochernes scorpioides
Lineage: Eukaryota; Metazoa; Arthropoda; Arachnida; Pseudoscorpiones; Chernetidae
Source: the annotation of a GenBank genome assembly
UGUCCAGGGAUGGGAAUCGAACCCACAGUGUUCCGCUUACCGGGCAGAUUCCAUGUCCACGGAAAAAUAUGUCCAGGGUAGCCUAGUGGAC